AGUAGCAACUCCUACGGGAGGCAGCAGUGGGGAAUAUUGCACAAUGGGCGCAAGCCUGAUGCAGCCAUGCCGCGUGUAUGAAGAAGGCCUUCGGGUUGUAAAGUACUUUCAGCAGUGAGGAAGGUGGAUAUGUUAAUAGCAUAUUCAUUUGACGUUAGCUGCAGAAGAAGCACCGGCUAACUCCGUGCCAGCAGCCGCGGUAAUACGGAGGGUGCGAGCGUUAAUCGGAAUUACUGGGCGUAAAGCGCAUGCAGGUGGUUUGUUAAGUCAGAUGUGAAAGCCCGGGGCUCAACCUCGGAAUUGCAUUUGAAACUGGCAAACUAGAGUACUGUAGAGGGGGUAGAAUUUCAGGUGUAGCGGUGAAAUGCGUAGAGAUCUGAAGGAAUACCGGUGGCGAAGGCGGCCCCCUGGACAGAUACUGACACUCAGAUGCGAAAGCGUGGGGAGCAAACAGGAUUAGAUACCCUGGUAG
This 472-nucleotide ribosomal RNA is filed under the name uncultured bacterium. Its description in RNAcentral is "bacterial SSU rRNA". It matches the Rfam family "Bacterial small subunit ribosomal RNA", at positions 328 to 793 of the family's 1533-position model. The record is from RNAcentral.